GGAGAAAGCUCAUCAGUCUCAAGGAGAAGGCUGGUUCAUAAUCACAGGGCAAAUCAACAGAGGAGCCCAUGUUCAAGAACAGUAUUCACAUAACCAAAAGGUGGAAGCAUCUCAAGUGUCCAUCGACAGGUGAAGAAAUUCUGGAGACUGGUUGCAUUGCACAACAAUGAAUAGGCUUAACACCACUGAACUAUACACUUAAAAAUGGCUUGCAUGCAGCACAUAAAACCACAUCUUUUCUUUCUGAGUCCAACCUGAGAAGUCAUUUCCGUGGCAGCAGAAUUCCAUCCGUGAUG
Callorhinus ursinus (northern fur seal) is the source of this 296-nucleotide non-coding RNA. The record is from RefSeq and is a predicted model, not a curated record. NCBI's taxonomy places the organism in Eukaryota, Metazoa, Chordata, Mammalia, Carnivora, Otariidae.